This is a long non-coding RNA of Argiope bruennichi, 316 nucleotides long. RefSeq lists it as uncharacterized. The record is from RefSeq and is a predicted model, not a curated record. NCBI's taxonomy places the organism in Eukaryota, Metazoa, Arthropoda, Arachnida, Araneae, Araneidae. The transcript is spliced from 3 exons.
UGCGGGAUCAGAAUACCAACCCAAAAUUUGAAAGCAUGUUUUCGAUUAAUUCUUGUUUUGUAAGAGCCUGGUUUAGAUUAUUUUAUUAAAUAUAAAUUCUGUAUACUUCAAGUGGACUUAAGUGUGAUGAAUACAAGUAGUCAAGGGAUGGAUUGAUCAGGCAGCAGCUCAGACUGAAUGUGUCAAAUGUAAUGCUACAUACAGUUGAAAUAUCAGAUGGACUUGAAGGUUAGUCCUUCAUAAAAGUAUGCCAGUGCUGAAAUGAAGUGAAGCAAACGAAUGAAAUAAUUGUAUGGCGGGAAAAGCUCAUAAAAAU